This 219-nucleotide ribosomal RNA is filed under the name uncultured fungus. Its description in RNAcentral is "partial 18S ribosomal RNA". It matches the Rfam family "Eukaryotic small subunit ribosomal RNA", at positions 40 to 274 of the family's 1831-position model. Lineage: Eukaryota; Fungi. The record is from RNAcentral.
AAGAUUAAGCCAUGCAUGUCUAAGUAUAAGCGAAUAUACAGUGAAACUGCGAAUGGCUCAUUAAAUCAGUUAUCGUUUAUUUGAUAGUACCUUGCUAAUUGGCAUACGCCUGGCAAUUCUAGAGCUAAUACAUGCACACAAGCCCAACUCACGGAGGGCUGUAUUUAUUAGAUAAAAAUCAACAUCCAAGAUGAUUCAUAAUAACUUUUCGAAUCGCAU